AUGCAGGUCGUUCGUCGCGCCAGCUUCAUGCAAGGGCAAGGGCAAUUAGCAGGCCGUGGACUGAUGGCGCAGGCGCCCUACGGAUGGUUCCGGCGCGGCACCAGCCGAAGGAGCUGCAGCCUUGCUCUGCGGUACAGUGAGCAACAUAUAGUUGGAAGCAUCCGCGACGACAACGCGAUGCGCAGCAACGGUGCGACAUCCAGAUACCAGUCGGCGCUGUACCGCGUCCAGCUUCAAGACGCCGGAGCCGGAGGCACUAGCGCAAGGACGGUGCUGGUCAAGAAGCUGUCCCAGAACGAGAACGAGUCGACGGCACGGGGCGUCGUCGAUCUCGACGGCCGGUGCCAGUCGGAGGUGAACCUGCUGGGCGGCAUCCGUCACGCGAACAUCAUCAACCUCGUGGGUUCCAUCUGGAGGGACACCUUCAUCCUGCUCGUCUACGACCACAUGGACAACGGCAGCCUCCACCAGUGGCUGCACCCGGGCCCCCUUCCCCUCCCCCUGCCGGAGGCCGAGCGGCGGCAGACGGCGACGUCGCAGUUGGACUGGCCGACGAGGCGGUCCAUCGCCAUCGGCGUCGCCAGAGGGCUCUGUUACCUGCACCACGGACGCAGCAACUACCACAUCGUUCACCACAACAUCAACUCUACCAGCAUCCUGCUCGACCGUGACCUCAGGCCCAAGAUCGCAGGCUUCGGCCUGGCACGGGUCAACCUCGCCGGGCUGGACCACCCGGUGCCUGCCUCGGAGCUCACGGCUGCCAACAUAUUCGGCUACACGGCUCCAGAGUAUGCGACCGUGGUGACGGAGAAGGUGGACGUGUACAGCUUCGGCGUGGUGCUGCUGGAGCUCGUCACCGGUCGGGUGGCCAACGAAGCGGUGCCGGGUGGCCACUUGGCAACCUGGGCACGGAGGCACUGCGAGGAGGAGGACGGUAGAGGUUUCAGCGAAGUCGUCGUAGACAUCCGGAUCCCAGACCGAGCACGACACGUGAAGGAGAUGGCGGCCGUGUUCAGGCUGGGCGUGGAGUGCACCAUUCCGGACCCCGGGGAGAGGCCACCCAUGCUCAAGGUUCUCUGCCGACUCCGCAGGCGUCGCCGCUGA
This 1104-nucleotide ribosomal RNA is filed under the name Triticum aestivum (bread wheat). Its description in RNAcentral is "partial small subunit ribosomal RNA". The record is from RNAcentral. Lineage: Eukaryota; Viridiplantae; Streptophyta; Magnoliopsida; Poales; Poaceae.